CCGUUUCUUUGGUCACGCUGGUUCGACUCUCCGAGCGACCUCGUGCCAUGAAAACCUCGAAACUUCUUUUUCACCGGACGAACUCCGCUUGGUGCGCGUGGCAGAUGCUAGGAGAGACCCGUCCCGGGUCCCUCGCUUCUCCUUUCCGUCUCGCUCGGUCCACGGGCGAGAAAAGCUCUUGGAAGGAAAGGAGGCGAGGUAUUACCAGUCUGUGGCGAAGACUAAGGGGGGAGUCGUCCCCCCCAGCUCUUCGGAACGUCAUGUUUCUCAUUCGAAUCGGUUCGGUACGUGGAAAUAAAAGAAGAGACCCCCUCGUCGUCGAUCUGGCGACGUUUGGGUGCGUUCAAAGAGCUUUUGGUGGUGGAUGGUCCUUUGUCGACCGACACCUGGCCGCCGACCCGAUGUUUCCCUUCCCGGUCGUCUAACAAUAUUUUUUUCUUUCACACUAACGAGGACACAAACUUUAUGUUGCGAGCCGUCGUUCUUUUCGGCGGCCGUCUCACUUAAAUUUGAAACGUAUAACGUACGACCGUAGGCGUUGGAUCACUCGGCUCGU
RNAcentral lists this unclassified non-coding RNA (556 nucleotides) under Patelloida corticata. Its description in RNAcentral is "partial miscellaneous RNA". Lineage: Eukaryota; Metazoa; Mollusca; Gastropoda; Lottiidae. The record is from RNAcentral.